Molecule: long non-coding RNA, 675 nt
Organism: Mytilus californianus (California mussel)
Lineage: Eukaryota; Metazoa; Mollusca; Bivalvia; Mytilida; Mytilidae
Exons: 5
Source: RefSeq, a predicted model, not a curated record
ACGACUUUUUAUGGACUUGACAAGGCAUUUACCUUGAAUUGCCCGUUUCAUUCGCAGUGGAAUAUAAGAGCAAAAGACGUAUGCAAUAUAUCAGACAGGUAUCUUUGUUUAUACGAUGCAAAUAAAAUGCUGAACGUUGAAGCAUGCAAAGACGAACCACAGUUGGAUGCGCCUGGUUUCAAAAUACAAAUAGUUGGAAGUUUGGAGGGUGUACAAUGUGAUACUGAUCGAUACUAACCUUUCAAGUUCUGGACGAAUGGUAGUGGCCUUUGCAAAUACGAAAAAUCAUUAUGCAAUGGCGAAGGACAAGUACCAUUUUCUUCGGGUACAAAUAAAAAAGACAGAGCGUGUAGAUGUGAUUACACAGAAGGAUAUGAUUUUGUAGUUACACCAAAAAACACGUGCUACUGUAUACCGUCUAAAGAAGACUGCUCUUGUUUCAUCAGAGAGUGUCCCAGUGGAUUUGUUCUCUCUCCAGAUUUUAAUUGUGCAGCAGUGGAAGAGUUGCUAGCAAGUUCACAGUGUCCCUUAAGAACGAUUAGCGGAGAAAAGACUAAUACACCAAUUUUGGCUAAAGACGUGAAAAGCGAUAAACAUGAUUAUUAUAAUGUGCAUUUAAGAAAACGAUCUCAUCUCCCGAAGACAUGUGUUUCGAUAUUGGUUUUUCUUUUUAUA